UUCCAAGAGUGUCGUACGGGUGCGUAACACGUAUGCAACCUACCUUGUACAGGAGUAUAGCUCGGGGAAACUCGAAUUAACCCUCCAUAAUAUAUCGAUGUGGCAUCACAAUGAUAUUAAAACUACGGUGGUACAAGAUGGGCAUGCGUUUGAUUAGCUAGUUGGCGGUGUAAUGGACCACCAAGGCGAUGAUCAAUAGGGGAACUGAGAGGUUGAUCCCCCACACUGGCACUGAGAUACGGGCCAGACUCCUACGGGAGGCAGCAGUAGGGAAUAUUGGUCAAUGGAUGGAAGUCUGAACCAGCCAUGCCGCGUGCAGGAAGAAGGCCUUCUGGGUUGUAAACUGCUUUUGCCAGGGGAUAAAAAUUCUUUGCGAAGAAAAUUGAAGGUACCUGGUGAAUAAGCACCGGCUAACUACGUGCCAGCAGCCGCG
This 433-nucleotide ribosomal RNA is filed under the name uncultured soil bacterium. RNAcentral's name for it is "bacterial SSU rRNA". It matches the Rfam family "Bacterial small subunit ribosomal RNA", at positions 87 to 519 of the family's 1533-position model. The record is from RNAcentral.